ACCAAAAUAGAAUCUCAAAAGUCUUCUGUCCAUGUCGUCGAGCUGACUCUGUCAAGGUUCGAGUCGACUAUGGCACGUCUUCCUGUAGUGGCCAGAAAAUCUACUUUUUAUUCUCCUGUCAGAGUCAGCUCUCUCAGGAUUUGAGCCGGCUCGAUCUAGAUCUGAGCCGACUCGAUCUGCUGUGUCAUCCACUGGGGUCAGAAACAUAACUCUCUAUAUGCUAUCUGAGCUGACUCGCUCAGAGCUCGAGCUAACUCGA
RNAcentral lists this long non-coding RNA (259 nucleotides) under Elaeis guineensis (African oil palm). Its description in RNAcentral is "long non-coding RNA (EGUI_LNC024475)". Lineage: Eukaryota; Viridiplantae; Streptophyta; Magnoliopsida; Arecales; Arecaceae. The record is from RNAcentral.